CGGACGGGGGGCAAGCGGCCGCCAGGGACACCUGCCCUUCCUCCCUCCUCCUCCCUCCCUCCUUCCUCCUCCUCGCCCAGCCCCGCCGGAGCCCCGCAGCAGCCGUGAGAGGCAGCCUGUCUGAUCCCCAUCAAAUGUUGACAGCUUCCCUCUCCCAUCUGCUCCACCGAGACUGUCUGCUGUCACGUGCCUGGAGGCACCAGAGCUGCUUGCUGCAGUCCCAUGGUGGAUCCCCAGCUCUCAGGCACCUCCCUGGCAGCUCUCCUUCCCGCUGGCUUUGGGCAAUAUCUGCUACUUCACCCGCUGCAUCUCCGCCAGCCAAGUGUCCCAGAGAGGUUUCCUCCAGCAAUGCCUUCCAGCAGCUGCAGGGCCACAGAGGCUCCUUAGGGGACAUGUCUCACCUCGUCCCAGCUACCUGCUGGUGGUGACCACUGUGAAGAGCUUUCAGGCCUUCUCUGAAGUCCCAGGGGAGAGUGAUGUGCUAGAAGACAGGUGCACCAGAGACCGAGGUCAGGGAGUGACAAAACUCUGUCCAGGCUUCCCUCCCACACUGUGAGCUGCUGGAGACUGCCUACAGAAGAAAUGCUAUUUGAGUUUGUACCCACAGCGCAGGCCUUUUCUGCAGACUCUGGCUGUGUUUUGAGUUCCCAGUAUACUGCACAUGUGGGCACUCUCUCUUCAGCUGGGCUUUCACAUCCCCAGUCCCAGAAGCCCUGUUACAGUGGGACAGCUAUUGGAGGUCCAGCCCCAAGACAUGCAGGUGAAGACGCUGCUAAAGGAGGAGCUGGUGUGGUCCCCGCUUCCCCGACUGCCACACUGCAAGCAGACAGGUACAGCUCGUGCAGUGUCACUCUGUCUCAGGUAAGGACUCUUAGGUAAGCACAUCCUUGGGUUUCCUGUUGAUCCCAAAUGCUCACUUCCCAAGAUUAGUUUUCAUUUUCAGUUCAGGAAGCAACCUGCAGUUGAAGCCACGGGAUGUGGGCAGCAGAGACUCUUUGUCUAGACAGACAGCUCAUCCCAAGGGUAGAUGCUUGUUUUGGACACCCCCUCAACCCACCUCCCUACAGAGAGUGAGCACAGGUCAGUCUGGGACCCUUGUCUGCUGUGAUCAUGAUCUCUGAAAAGGAGCAACCAGCCAUCGGUGUACGCUGAG
Long non-coding RNA from Harpia harpyja (harpy eagle), 1153 nucleotides. RefSeq lists it as uncharacterized. The record is from RefSeq and is a predicted model, not a curated record. Lineage: Eukaryota; Metazoa; Chordata; Aves; Accipitriformes; Accipitridae. The transcript is spliced from 4 exons.